This 292-nucleotide ribosomal RNA is filed under the name uncultured bacterium. Its description in RNAcentral is "partial 16S ribosomal RNA". The record is from RNAcentral.
GGACUACACGGGUUUCUAAUCCUGUUUGCUCCCCACGCUUUCGUGUCUCAGCGUCAGUACUCGUCCAGUUGGCCGCCUUCGCCACCGGUGUUCCUCUCGAUAUCUACGAAUUUCACCUCUACACCGAGAAUUCCACCAACCUCUCCGGUACUCAAGCCACGCAGUAUCGAGUGCACUUCCUGGGUUGAGCCCAGGGCUUUCACAUCCGACUUACAUGGCCGCCUACACACGCUUUACGCCCAGUAAUUCCGAACAACGUUUGCACCCUCUGUCUUACCGCGGCGGCUGGCAC